This 518-nucleotide long non-coding RNA is filed under the name Capsella rubella. RNAcentral's name for it is "long non-coding RNA (CRUB_LNC004057)". Lineage: Eukaryota; Viridiplantae; Streptophyta; Magnoliopsida; Brassicales; Brassicaceae. The record is from RNAcentral.
ACAACUUGAAGCCAAACACCCCCUAAUUUUAAAAAACCAUUUCAUGAAAAUAAAACCAGUUGCCAAACAGAAUUAAUGACAGCAAAAAAAAAAACCAAAACAAAAACAAAAACAAUCUAUAUUUAUGGAAAUCAUAAUAAUCUUUUACCAUAAAAAGUGGACAAUUAAAUUCAAAACUAAAUAUAUGUAAACAAAUAUAUUUUGAAUAUACAUAAACAUAUUUAUUAUUAAUUUAAUAUGUUAAUAUAAUUUCGAAAUUAAUAAUUUAUAUAGAAUGAAAUCUAAUAAAACAAAAUCAUCAUAUCUAAAAUAACAAAGAUAACUUUUUUUAGAAAAAUAAAAAAAGAUAAAAAAAAUAUGUUAGCAUAUGAAAUAAUCAACUAAUCAAAUUCUACAUAGUAUAUAUACAGAACUGAUCAUAUCAUAAAAUUUAAAAAAAUUAUAUAAUUUUUAAAUAUAAAUAAAAUUUAACUAAAUCAAUAAUUAAAUAUUUGUUUGCUAAAAUCAUGCGAAUAAAC